AGUGAACGCUGGCGGUAUGCCUAACACAUGCAAGUCGAACGGCAGCACAGUAAGAGCUUGCUCUUACGGGUGGCGAGUGGCGGACGGGUGAGGAAUACAUCGGAAUCUACUUUUUCGUGGGGGAUAACGUAGGGAAACUUACGCUAAUACCGCAUACGAGCUACGGGUGAAAGCAGUUGAUCUUCGGACCUUGCGCGAUUGAAUGAGCCGAUGUCGGAUUAGCUGGUUGGCGGGGUAAAGGCCCACCAAGGCGACGAUCCGUAGCUGGUCUGAGAGGAUGAUCAGCCACACUGGAACUGAGACACGGUCCAGACUCCUACGGGAGGCAGCAGUGGGGAAUAUUGGACAAUGGGCGCAAGCCUGAUCCAGCAAUACCGCGUGUGUGAAGAAGGCCUUCGGGUUGUAAAGCCCUUUUGUUGGGAAAGAAAAGCAGCAGGUUAAUACCCCGCUGUUCUGACGGUACCCAAAGAAUAAGCACCGGCUAACUUCGUG
Molecule: ribosomal RNA, 492 nt
Filed under: uncultured bacterium
Lineage: Bacteria
Description: partial 16S ribosomal RNA
Rfam family: Bacterial small subunit ribosomal RNA
Source: RNAcentral